Molecule: long non-coding RNA, 862 nt
Organism: Notolabrus celidotus (New Zealand spotty)
Lineage: Eukaryota; Metazoa; Chordata; Actinopteri; Labriformes; Labridae
Exons: 6
Source: RefSeq, a predicted model, not a curated record
CAACGCAUUUGCUUUCAGGAAAUGCAACCUUUCUAGUUUGAAUUAUUUUGAAGUUAUGGUGGAAACUGGAGCUGGACUGGUAAACAGAGAAAGGACAGAAGAGAUGAAGAAAGGAAACAGGAGAGUGACAGAGCCCAGUCUGAAACACUUAAGGAUAGCUUCUCAGAGAUGAAGAGAACUAAAGGAGUUAAAAUGACUGAAAACAGAUGCUGGGUGGAUCCUCUUCUUUGAAACAGAUAAUGUGGCAUCGUGUCCUCCUCCAUGUCAGAGACCAGCACCGCUGCUCUUUUGGAAGCUGUGACCACGGGCCACUUGAUGAGAGCAGCAGAGAUAAGCCAUGGAUGGUGUGAGACUCUCCAUCACAUCAGGCUUGUGCAUCCAUCAUCCCUGAUAAACGCUGACUGAAGGAGAAGUUUACCAACUUUCACACAACACCUGACCUGGAAUCCUUUCAGAACCACAUCCUCUUGUAUGCUGCAAAAUGCUUUUCAUUCAGCUCACCAGUGUAUGAGGCGCACACUCCUCUGGCACCACACCCACAGGCCUGCAGCCCUGACUCUGAUGGUAACAAUAAAGGAAUACUUGGAAGAUGAUUGAAAUCUGGGAAGAGACUUCCCAAAACAAGAACACUAAGACCUGAUGAUCAAAGAAGACUUGGACAUCUUCCUGGGAUUCCUCCACCACCUACAACAGAACUAGCACAAGCAUGCAUCCAACGCAGAGAAGUUUGUACACAUAACCUGCCUGUAUGAAAAGUGUAAAGUUGUAUCAUCAUACACCGUGUAACAGAUAUGUAAAUAUGUAAAGAACUGUAAAUAUUGUAUAUUGAAAAUAAAACACAAGACUGUUUAAAGAAAACAAA